ACAUUGAGUGUGGAUAUCUUGCUCUUUAAAACAAAGUUCAUUGUUAGGGCAGUAUUGCAACAGAAUUGCCACACAAAAACCAGCUUAAGAAAUGUACAGCACUUCAAUUUUUUUAGUUGUCUCCCAGAGCUCCGUGGAAUUUCCUUUCUCUGCUUUAAUGUGCUUUUAAAAGAUAACAAGAGUAAUCCACAGACUUAAAACAUGAGCUCAGAUGCCAGCCAAGGCGUGAUUACCACUCCUCCUCCUCCCAGCAUGCCUCACAAAGAGAGAUAUUUUGACCGCAUCAAUGAAAAUGACCCAGAAUACAUUAGGGAGAGGAACAUGUCUCCUGAUCUACGACAAGACUUCAACAUGAUGGAGCAGAGGAAACGAGUUACUCAGAUCCUGCAAAGUCCUGCCUUUCGGGAAGACUUGGAAUGCCUUAUUCAAGAACAGAUGAAGAAAGGCCACAACCCAACUGGAUUACUAGCAUUACAGCAGAUUGCAGAUUACAUCAUGGCCAAUUCUUUCUCGGGUUUUUCUUCAC
Molecule: small RNA, 526 nt
Filed under: Pan troglodytes (chimpanzee)
Lineage: Eukaryota; Metazoa; Chordata; Mammalia; Primates; Hominidae
Description: processed transcript
Source: RNAcentral